UAUAUACCCAUCAUUGUUCUUGUCAAAUGUUGCAAAAACACCACUCAACUCAACUUUUGAGCUCUUCUUUUCAACAAAGAUUGAAUCUUUAUUGACAAAAGGGGUUGUUGGGGUUAGGGUUUGAGGUUUAACAGAGAGGGAAAAGAUCCAAGAUUGAAACUUUUUUGUGGGAAAAUUGAAAAGGGUUGUAAUUAAACCAAGAAUGAAGAGAAAUGCUAAGAAAAGAAGGCUAAUUGUUAACAUUUUCUUGAUUCUUG
This 257-nucleotide unclassified non-coding RNA is filed under the name Hevea brasiliensis (rubber tree). Lineage: Eukaryota; Viridiplantae; Streptophyta; Magnoliopsida; Malpighiales; Euphorbiaceae. The record is from RNAcentral.